AUGUACCGCGCUUACACUGCGGUUCUGAGCGCGCCCCGCGCCCACCUGACAGCUGCUCGCGACGUUGUGUUAGCC
This 75-nucleotide small RNA is filed under the name Xanthomonas oryzae. RNAcentral's name for it is "sX9". It matches the Rfam family "Xanthomonas sRNA sX9". The record is from RNAcentral. Lineage: Bacteria; Pseudomonadati; Pseudomonadota; Gammaproteobacteria; Lysobacterales; Lysobacteraceae.